Aquila chrysaetos chrysaetos is the source of this 1172-nucleotide long non-coding RNA. NCBI's taxonomy places the organism in Eukaryota, Metazoa, Chordata, Aves, Accipitriformes, Accipitridae. The record is from Ensembl.
GGCGGGGGGGCGGCGGCGAGAAGCCCUCCCCUCUGCCCGGCGCCCCCCCCCGGCUGCGCCGCCCGCCCGGCGCCCCCCGCCGCCCGGCAGCAGCGCCUCCGACCCGCCACCCAUCGCUGGAUGUUCCUCCACUUUACCCACCGUAUCAAACAACUUUUACCAGUAAAUAUCGGUUUAUUCCUGAAACCAGAAGCCCUAAACAUACCUUUGUUUAUAAGUUUUCCUGCUCUGCAUCUCUGGGAACUGGAGCCCGCAGGACCUAGAGCCUUCUGUUGCAGUUUGCAUCCGUGCAGCCAGGGCUCGGGUGGAAAUCCAGCCACUACGAGGAGUCUCUCCAGUCCCGGCGAGAGGCGAGAUGCCUGGCGGUGCUGCCACGGUCCUGCCAUCCCUGGCACCGACUGCAGUCGGAGCUCGUGCACUGGUGUACCAAGCCUCAGAACCACUGCUUUCUCCAGCUCAUAGGAUGCUUUUCCGAGACUGUGGAUACGUGUUUGUGUACUGCUGUGUUGAUAAGUAAAUGCCAACGAUGGAGUUCGUUGCUUUUAUACAUCCCAAAGAGAAGUUCUCCACCGUUCAUUUUCUGUUUUCUGACCGAAAAGGCGUGUGUUUGUGAACAGUGUUCACGCAAGUUCUGCCAUCCCACUCUCACAUCAGCUUAUACCAAUGCCAGGAUGGGAGGAUUUGCCUGCGUACCUUCCCCAAAACACCCCGGUCCGCAGUGGCAUCGUCAGGGAGCAGUUCAAAUGUGUGUCCUUUGGGCUUUGUGUAAAGCAAACGCAGAACAAGAAAAAUCAAGAUGUUAAAUCCAUUAGAAAACAAAUUCCUUAUUGUACAGUAGUAUGGAGAUCUCUAGUCAACCUGCCAUUAAUAAUAGAUUCUUAUUUUUUGAAUGAUCUAUUUAAAAGAACAGCAAGCAUUGUAUUUGCUAGUAAAUCUGAAGUGUUUACAUGGAAUUACUAAAUAAAUUAUUUGAUCUAAGAUGGCUCUCAUCAGUGCUGAUUUUUAAUGCUGGAAAUUAAUUUUGGCAGCUGCUUUUUUAGUUCGUGCUGUUCUUUAAAAUCUUCCAAAGCAGAUUUUUUCAAUGCAUCCUUGUGUUUUAAAUUAGGUUCUGAGGAAGACGCAAAGCAUGCCUCUCCCUGCAAGAUCUGACAGGAGUGCUAGCUAAUGUUUUC